This 86-nucleotide small nucleolar RNA is filed under the name Callorhinchus milii (elephant shark). Its description in RNAcentral is "Small nucleolar RNA SNORD35 (ENSCMIG00000014634.1)". It matches the Rfam family "Small nucleolar RNA SNORD35". Rfam says of the family: U35 is a C/D box snoRNA located in intron 6 of ribosomal protein L13A and intron 3 of ribosomal protein S11 in humans and at homologous positions in mouse and chicken ribosomal protein genes. U35 guides the methylation of 2'-O-ribose sites in 28S rRNA. The record is from RNAcentral. Lineage: Eukaryota; Metazoa; Chordata; Chondrichthyes; Chimaeriformes; Callorhinchidae.
GCAAAUUAUUUUCUUUCUCAUGAUGGUCUUCCAAGUCUCGUAGAGGCUGUGACGAUCCUGCUGAAUGGUUUUACUGAUCGCAGAUC